This 1342-nucleotide ribosomal RNA is filed under the name uncultured bacterium. RNAcentral describes it as "16S ribosomal RNA". It matches the Rfam family "Bacterial small subunit ribosomal RNA", at positions 28 to 1378 of the family's 1533-position model. The record is from RNAcentral.
GACGAACGCUGGCGGCGUGCUUAACACAUGCAAGUCGAACGGAAAGGCCCUGCUUUUGUGGGGUGCUCGAGUGGCGAACGGGUGAGUAACACGUGAGUAACCUGCCCUUGACUUUGGGAUAACUUCAGGAAACUGGGGCUAAUACCGGAUAGGAGCUCCUGCUGCAUGGUGGGGGUUGGAAAGUUUCGGCGGUUGGGGAUGGACUCGCGGCUUAUCAGCUUGUUGGUGGGGUAGUGGCUUACCAAGGCUUUGACGGGUAGCCGGCCUGAGAGGGUGACCGGCCACAUUGGGACUGAGAUACGGCCCAGACUCCUACGGGAGGCAGCAGUGGGGAAUAUUGCACAAUGGGCGGAAGCCUGAUGCAGCAACGCCGCGUGCGGGAUGACGGCCUUCGGGUUGUAAACCGCUUUCGCCUGUGACGAAGCGUGAGUGACGGUAAUGGGUAAAGAAGCACCGGCUAACUACGUGCCAGCAGCCGCGGUGAUACGUAGGGUGCGAGCGUUGUCCGGAUUUAUUGGGCGUAAGGGCUCGUAGGUGGUUGAUCGCGUCGGAAGUGUAAUCUUGGGGCUUAACCCUGAGCGUGCUUUCGAUACGGGUUGACUUGAGGAAGGUAGGGGAGAAUGGAAUUCCUGGUGGAGCGGUGGAAUGCGCAGAUAUCAGGAGGAACACCAGUGGCGAAGGCGGUUCUCUGGGCCUUUCCUGACGCUGAGGAGCGAAAGCGUGGGGAGCGAACAGGCCUAGAUACCCUGGUAGUCCACGCUGUAAACGGUGGGUACUAGGUGUGGGGUCCAUUCCACGGGUUCCGUGCCGUAGCUAACGCUUUAAGUACCCCGCCUGGGGAGUACGGCCGCAAGGCUAAAACUCAAAGGAAUUGACGGGGCCCCGCACAAGCGGCGGAGCAUGCGGAUUAAUUCGAUGCAACGCGUAGAACCUUACCUGGGUUUGACAUGGAUCGGGAGUGCUCAGAGAUGGGUGUGCCUCUUUUGGGGUCGGUUCACAGGUGGUGCAUGGCUGUCGUCAGCUCGUGUCGUGAGAUGUUGGGUUAAGUCCCGCAACGAGCGCAACCCUUGUUCACUGUUGCCAGCACGUUAUGGUGGGGACUCAGUGGAGACCGCCGGGGUCAACUCGGAGGAAGGUGGGGAUGACGUCAAGUCAUCAUGCCCCUUAUGUCCAGGGCUUCACGCAUGCUACAAUGGCUGGUACAGAGAGUGGCGAGCCUGUGAGGGUGAGCGAAUCUCGGAAAGCCGGUCUCAGUUCGGAUUGGGGUCUGCAACUCGACCUCAUGAAGUCGGAGUCGCUAGUAAUCGCAGAUCAGCAACGCUGCGGUGAAUACGUUCCCGGG